This 28-nucleotide non-coding RNA is filed under the name Mus musculus (house mouse). Lineage: Eukaryota; Metazoa; Chordata; Mammalia; Rodentia; Muridae. The record is from RNAcentral.
UCACAGGAGCCAGGUGAAGAGGCUAACA